AGAACAAUUCGUUCCAGAAGUAUGACAAAUCCUCCUAAAAGUGUAACUUUAGCCUCGUACAAUUCUCACAGAUUUUACUACUUAAAUGACGGGAGAAUGUAUAACCAUGCCCAAAGUAUGACAUUAGUGAUUGUCUUGUGGUGAGAUAUCGCAAUUUCUUUCCACAGAGCGUUUGAGACUGUUGGAUGGCACGAUGUAGUAUUGCAUUUUUUUCUCAUGGCUUAACCCGACCACAAUAGACUAUACGGCCAAAGGAUGGUGUCAUAGUGGAUCGUACGAUCUAGUAUGACAGUUUCUCAUCACUUAACCUGUCCACGAUAGACUAUAUGGCCAACGGCUAGUGUUAUAUUGAACCACACGAUUUAGUAUGUCAGUUUUCUCAUCACUUAAUCCGUCCACGAUAGACUAGCUGACGACCUUCGUGUCUUCUAUCAGCAACGUCACUACCCUGACUGACUGACCUCCCAGAUAUGUUAAUCUCGAAGUCAGUUAGAGCUCGACAGCCGGAGAGUGAGGUUGCCAAAAUUUUCGAGUGUCCACUCACUACGGCAAAGAUGUCUCAGUACUACGAUACCCUUAAACACCAGAAGGAUGGAGAAAGGGGUCAAUUGUCCGAUUGCUAUGAGGAUGAUACUGACGCGAGGAAGCAGCCAGUGACUUUAUCGGACUAUGUAUACGAAGACAGUGUAUCGUUGGAUGGUAAAUAUCAUCUUCAACGUGGGCACUACACCUGUGGGAAACAACCAUCGGUAGUGCACAGAAAGCUGCUGGUCGAUUUAAGUCAGAACUACUGCCACGAAACGAUGUUAUGUAGCUACGACAGGAUGGGUACUUUUAAGGACUGGUCCGAACAGCUGGUUCAGAAGGGUAGACAGCUAGCCCGGAGAGGGUUUUAUUAUACCAGUGUUUCGGACAAAGUCGCGUGUGCCUGGUGUGGAUUACGAUUGUGGAAAUGGUGUGCCGAGGAUGACAUUGACUUUGAACAUCACAGGUUUAGCCCAUCGUGCUCAUUCCUGAAAAUUACUUGCCCCGUCAGGUUUGAUACUGACAUGAGAAAUGCUUUGUGAACUGAGAGCUGAAUUGUGAGUAAAAAUAUAAUCUAAGCAUAUUUACGAAUAAAAUUUGUGAAAUGUU
Haliotis rubra (blacklip abalone) is the source of this 1134-nucleotide long non-coding RNA. RefSeq lists it as uncharacterized. The record is from RefSeq and is a predicted model, not a curated record. The transcript is spliced from 2 exons. NCBI's taxonomy places the organism in Eukaryota, Metazoa, Mollusca, Gastropoda, Lepetellida, Haliotidae.